RNAcentral lists this transfer RNA (69 nucleotides) under Trisopterus luscus. Its description in RNAcentral is "tRNA-Ala". It matches the Rfam family "tRNA". Rfam says of the family: Transfer RNA (tRNA) molecules are approximately 80 nucleotides in length. The record is from RNAcentral. Lineage: Eukaryota; Metazoa; Chordata; Actinopteri; Gadiformes; Gadidae.
AAGGUCUUGGCUUAAUUAAAGUAUUUGUUUUGCAUACAGAAGAUGUGGGGUAACAUCCCGCAGAUCUUA